UACGGAGGGGGCUAGCGUUGUUCGGAAUUACUGGGCGUAAAGCGCACGUAGGCGGCUUUGUAAGUUAGAGGUGAAAGCCCAGGGCUUAACCCUGGAAUUGCCUUUAAGACUGCAUCGCUAGAAUCGUGGAGAGGUGAGUGGAAUUCCGAGUGUAGAGGUGAAAUUCGUAGAUAUUCGGAAGAACACCAGUGGCGAAGGCGACUCACUGGACACGUAUUGACGCUGAGGUGCGAAAGCGCCGGGAGCAAACAGG
RNAcentral lists this ribosomal RNA (253 nucleotides) under uncultured bacterium. RNAcentral describes it as "partial 16S ribosomal RNA". It matches the Rfam family "Bacterial small subunit ribosomal RNA", at positions 524 to 776 of the family's 1533-position model. The record is from RNAcentral.